GAUGAACGCUGGCGGCGUGCUUAACACAUGCAAGUCGAACGGGGAUUAUUUCAUUGAAGCUUCGGCAGAUUUGGCUUAAUCCUAGUGGCGGACGGGUGAGUAACGCGUGGGUAACCUGCCUUGUACAGGGGGAUAACAGUCAGAAAUGACUGCUAAUACCCGCAUAAGCGCACAGGACCGCAUGGUCCGGUGUGAAAAACUCCGGUGGUAUAAGAUGGACCCGCGUUGGAUUAGCUAGUUGGCAGGGUAACGGCCUACCAAGGCGACGAUCCAUAGCCGGCCUGAGAGGGUGAACGGCCACAUUGGGACUGAGACACGGCCCAGACUCCUACGGGAGGCAGCAGUGGGGAAUAUUGCACAAUGGGGGAAACCCUGAUGCAGCGACGCCGCGUGAAGGAAGAAGUAUCUCGGUAUGUAAACUUCUAUCAGCAGGGAAGAAAAUGACGGUACCUGA
Molecule: ribosomal RNA, 454 nt
Filed under: uncultured bacterium
Lineage: Bacteria
Description: bacterial SSU rRNA
Rfam family: Bacterial small subunit ribosomal RNA
Source: RNAcentral